GCAUAUCAAUAAGCGGAGGAAAAGAAACCAACAGGGAUUGCCUCAGUAACGGCGAGUGAAGCGGCAAAAGCUCAAAUUUGAAAUCCCCCCGGGGAGUUGUAAUUUGAAGAUUGCGUCUUGGAGGCGACCGUGUCUAUGUUCCUUGGAACAGGACGUCACAGAGGGUGAGAAUCCCGUGCGGCACGGCCCCCGGCUCCUUAUAAGGCGCUCUCGACGAGUCGAGUUGUUUGGGAAUGCAGCUCAAAGUGGGUGGUAAAUUCCAUCUAAAGCUAAAUACAGGCGAGAGACCGAUAGCGAACAAGUACAGUGAUGGAAAGAUGAAAAGCACUUUGAAAAGAGAGUGAAACAGCACGUGAAAUUGUUGAAAGGGAAGGGCAUGCCGUCAGAUUGUCAGUGUGGGUAAGAAGCGGGGUACAAAGACUGUGGAACGUGGCCCUCGGGUGUUAUAGCCGCAGUUCAUGCCCCGUCUCUUUCCGAGGCCUGCUUUGAGGACACCGACGUAAUGACGGUACGCCGUCCGUCUUGAAACACGGACC
RNAcentral lists this ribosomal RNA (536 nucleotides) under uncultured fungus. RNAcentral's name for it is "LSU rRNA". It matches the Rfam family "Eukaryotic large subunit ribosomal RNA", at positions 38 to 667 of the family's 3401-position model. The record is from RNAcentral. Lineage: Eukaryota; Fungi.